RNAcentral lists this long non-coding RNA (1002 nucleotides) under Solanum tuberosum (potato). RNAcentral describes it as "long non-coding RNA (STUB_LNC000818)". The record is from RNAcentral. Lineage: Eukaryota; Viridiplantae; Streptophyta; Magnoliopsida; Solanales; Solanaceae.
CGAAUAGGUUUAACAUACCAGAUUUGCUAUUUUUUUCCCUAAAUGCAGUACAUUUUGUCAAAAGCUGAACUAUAAACUAAUAACGUUUUAUUGUUGUUCCCUGGAUUAAAGCUAAUUCUUUGGGUCCUUAUUUGAAUGUGAACAAGUCCUUCAAGUUCUUAAAUUCAGCUCUAUUUUGUCGAGUACUGCAUUAUAAAGUGGCUGUUGCUAUUCUGCUAUUUCAAAAUACUUAACAGUUUACUCCCUCCAAAACACCUUUUGCAUUAGUGCGACAUUUUUUUCAAGUGAAUCCAAAAUUUGUCAUUAUUAGUUACUCAGUGCUCAUCUCUAUGAUAUAUCAUAGCUUAUAACAACUAACUACAUUCAACUUUAUAGGGACAGACUAUGUUGUGGGGGGUCAUUUGAAUUGCAUUGAGAUAAUGCCAGCCUACUCCAUUUUUUAAGGAGAUGCCCUUUGGUGUGAAGACUCAUACUUCCACAAAUCUGACACAAUUUUUUGCUUCUUAUGGCCUCAUCUUUCGAAGAGUCCGGAGGAACUGAAUGAAUUUCCCAUGUGUACUGCAAACAUCUUUUGCCAUUGUUUAAUUCAAUAGGUGAAAUUUUGGUGUGUGCCCCAAUUGCACAUGUCCAAUCAAAUACAUGUAUUGAUAACAUGUGUAAGUGAUAAACUUCUUAAGCAUCGUCUCUUGCCUAUUCUGGUUACAUUAGAGGAAAUAUUUGAAUUGUAGUGUUUGUAACUAUAUGACCUCUAUAUAAGUAGAUAAAUCAACAAAACUUUGAGCUAAAAUAUGGAUGUUGCUCUUACAAAAUAAAUAAAUAUUAUCAAUGGAACAUGUUGGGCCGUGCAGAGCACGGCUUUCCUUAUCUAGUUUCUAUUAUUUAGAAGCAUGAUGACGACCAACGACCAGUGGCAAAAAGGAUAAUAAAUCAAAUAUACAAGGGCAAAUUAUAACUACUAUACUAAAAUUUAUUGAUAUUCGUGCACUCAUGCUCAGAAGUCAG